GACGAACGCUGGCGGCGUGCCUAAUACAUGCAAGUUGAGCGAUGAAGAUUGGUGCUUGCACCAAUUUGAAGAGCAGCGAACGGGUGAGUAACGCGUGGGGAAUCUGCCUUUGAGCGGGGGACAACAUUUGGAAACGAAUGCUAAUACCGCAUAGCAACUUUAAACAUAAGUUUUAAGUUUGAAAGAUGCAAUUGCAUCACUCAAAGAUGAUCCCGCGUUGUAUUAGCUAGUUGGUGAGGUAAAGGCUCACCAAGGCGAUGAUACAUAGCCGACCUGAGAGGGUGAUCGGCCACAUUUGGACUGAGACCCGGCCCAAACUCCUACGGGAGGCAGCAGUAGGGAAUCUUCGGCAAUGGACGAAAGUCUGACCGAGCAACGCCGCGUGAGUGAAGAAGGUUUUCGGAUCGUAAAACUCUGUUGGUAGAGAAGAACGUUGGUGAGAGUGGAAAGCUCAUCAAGUGACGGUAACUACCCAGAAAGGGACGGCUAACUACGUG
Molecule: ribosomal RNA, 497 nt
Filed under: uncultured bacterium
Lineage: Bacteria
Description: partial 16S ribosomal RNA
Rfam family: Bacterial small subunit ribosomal RNA
Source: RNAcentral